UGCAAGUCGAACGAUGAUGCCCAGCUUGCUGGGCGGAUUAGUGGCGAACGGGUGAGUAACACGUGAGUAACCUGCCCCUGACUCUGGGAUAAGCGUUGGAAACGACGUCUAAUACUGGAUAUGAUCACCGGCCGCAUGGUCUGGUGGUGGAAAGAUUUUUUGGUUGGGGAUGGACUCGCGGCCUAUCAGCUUGUUGGUGAGGUAAUGGCUCACCAAGGCGACGACGGGUAGCCGGCCUGAGAGGGUGACCGGCCACACUGGGACUGAGACACGGCCCAGACUCCUACGGGAGGCAGCAGUGGGGAAUAUUGCACAAUGGGCGAAAGCCUGAUGCAGCAACGCCGCGUGAGGGAUGACGGCCUUCGGGUUGUAAACCUCUUUUAGUAGGGAAGAAGCGAAAGUGACGGUACCUGCAGAAAAAGCACCGGCUAACUACGUGCCAGCAGCCGCGGUAAUACGUAGGGUGCAAGCGUUGUCCGGAAUUAUUGGGCGUAAAGAGCUCGUAGGCGGUUUGUCGCGUCUGCUGUGAAAUCCCGAGGCUCAACCUCGGGCUUGCAGUGGGUACGGGCAGACUAGAGUGCGGUAGGGGAGAUUGGAAUUCCUGGUGUAGCGGUGGAAUGCGCAGAUAUCAGGAGGAACACCGAUGGCGA
Molecule: ribosomal RNA, 650 nt
Filed under: Curtobacterium sp. Arv-8-3.2
Lineage: Bacteria; Bacillati; Actinomycetota; Actinomycetes; Micrococcales; Microbacteriaceae
Description: bacterial SSU rRNA
Rfam family: Bacterial small subunit ribosomal RNA
Source: RNAcentral